GUGAGGAAUAUUGCGCAAUGGGCGAAAGCCUGACGCAGCAACGCCGCGUGGGUGAGGAAGGUCUUCGGAUCGUAAAGCCCUUUUCUGUGUGACGAGGAAGGACGGUAGCACAGGAAUAAGUGUCGGCUAACUACGUGCCAGCAGCCGCGGUAAAACGUAGGACGCAAGCGUUAUCCGGAAUUACUGGGCGUAAAGCGCGCGCAGGCGGGUGAGCAAGUCAUGUGUGAAAGCUCCUGGCUAAACUGGGAGAGGACGGAUGAAACUGCUCAUCUGGAGGGUGUUAGAGGAGUGUGGAAUUCCGCGUGUAGUGGUGAAAUGCGUAGAGAUGCGGAGGAACACCAGAAGCGAAGGCGGCACUCUGGGACACGCCUGACGCUGAGGCGCGAAAGCAUGGGUAGCGAACGGGAUUAGAAACCCGUGUAGUCC
This 426-nucleotide ribosomal RNA is filed under the name uncultured bacterium. RNAcentral describes it as "bacterial SSU rRNA". It matches the Rfam family "Bacterial small subunit ribosomal RNA", at positions 354 to 796 of the family's 1533-position model. The record is from RNAcentral.